This 207-nucleotide ribosomal RNA is filed under the name uncultured bacterium. RNAcentral's name for it is "partial 16S ribosomal RNA". It matches the Rfam family "Bacterial small subunit ribosomal RNA", at positions 568 to 774 of the family's 1533-position model. The record is from RNAcentral.
CAGGUAGGCGGCUCUGUGUGUCCUUUGUGAAAGCCCUCGGCUCAACCGAGGAACUGCAGGGGAAACUGCGGGGCUUGAGUCCGGGAGAGGGUAGUGGAAUUCCCAGUGUAGCGGUGAAAUGCGUAGAUAUUGGGAGGAACACCAGUGGCGAAGGCGGCUACCUGGACCGGUACUGACGCUGAGCUGCGAAAGCUAGGGGAGCAAACA